UCUUGAAUGGUGGAUAUAUUAUUGAUUUUGGCUAAUCACGUCGGCAAUGAUACUUUGAUUCAACAUCAAUCGAUUUGAAGGAAGUAGUCACAUAAGACCAGCCAACGGAAAGCCUGUAACAGCAAGCAAAACUACUUACUGGAUAUCCUAAACAAUUAGCAGUCAGUGCAUCAGGAAAAAUGGGACCCAAGAAUCUCAUGAUUAAUUUUUCAAUUUCUGAUUUGCUUACCUACAUCACUGUCAAGUUUGGAGG
This 253-nucleotide long non-coding RNA is filed under the name Elaeis guineensis (African oil palm). Its description in RNAcentral is "long non-coding RNA (EGUI_LNC028722)". Lineage: Eukaryota; Viridiplantae; Streptophyta; Magnoliopsida; Arecales; Arecaceae. The record is from RNAcentral.